RNAcentral lists this ribosomal RNA (542 nucleotides) under Boophis bottae. RNAcentral describes it as "partial 16S ribosomal RNA". It matches the Rfam family "Bacterial large subunit ribosomal RNA", at positions 715 to 1668 of the family's 2925-position model. Lineage: Eukaryota; Metazoa; Chordata; Amphibia; Anura; Mantellidae. The record is from RNAcentral.
CCGAAACUAAGUGAGCUACUUAAGAAUAGCCCUCGGAGCCAACCCAUCUCUGUUGCAAAAGAGUGGGAAGAUUUUUAAGUAGAGGUGAUAAACCUAUCGAACUUAGAGAUAGCUGGUUUUUUAAGAAAGGAAUUUUAGUUCCGCCCUAAGUUUUAAACUGAACAGAAAGUUUACCUAAACUUAGGAGUUAUUCAAAUAAGGCACAGCUUAUUUGAAAUAGGACACAACCUAUGUUAUUGGGUAAGACAAUAAACUUACAUUAAGUGGGCCUAAAAGCAGCCACCUUUAAAAUAGCGUCAAAGCUUAUUUUAACAAUUUUACAUAAUUUCUCAAACUAUCUCAAACCCGCAUUUUCUAUUAAAAAACUCCAUAAAAAUAUGGAAGCUACUAUGUUAGAACGAGUAACAAGAAAAAGAACUUCUCCAAAAUGUAAGCUUAAGCCAUAAUAGACACACUACUGGCAAUUAACGCGCAUAAACAAACUAUAGUAACACAACAAGAAAAUCCUAUAUUUUUAUACCGUCAACCUUACACCAGAACAU